GACGUAGGUGGCAAACGUUAUCCGGAAUUACUGGGCGUAAAGGGUCCGUAGGCGGCUGCGCAAGUCGGACGUGAAAGCUCCUGGCUCAACUGGGAGAGGCCGUUCGAUACUGCGUAGCUCGAAUCUGGCAGAGGUCGGUGGAAUUCCUGGUGUAGUGGUGGAAUGCGUAGAGAUCAGGAGGAACGCCAAAAGCGCAAGCAGCCGGCUGGGUCAAGAUUGACGCUGAGGGACGAAAGCGUGGGGAGCGAACAGG
RNAcentral lists this unclassified non-coding RNA (253 nucleotides) under uncultured Anaerolineae bacterium. RNAcentral's name for it is "contains 16S-23S intergenic spacer region". It matches the Rfam family "Bacterial small subunit ribosomal RNA", at positions 524 to 776 of the family's 1533-position model. Lineage: Bacteria; Bacillati; Chloroflexota; Anaerolineae. The record is from RNAcentral.